UAAUGUUUCUAAGGCGAGUGAAAGCCAAGCUUGUUUUGUGGAUCAGUGGCGAACGGGUGACUAACUUGUGAGCAACCUGCCCUGGACUCUGGGAUAAGCUCUGGAAACGGCGUCUAAUACUGGAUAUGAGCUCUCAUCGCAUGGUGGGGGUUGGAAAGAUUUUUCGGUCUGGGAUGGGCUCGCGGCCUGUCAGCUUGUUGGUGAGGUAAUGGCUCACCAAGGCGUCGACGGGUAGCCGGCCUGAAAGGGUGACCGGCCACACUGGGACUGAGACACGGCCCAGACUCCUACGGGAGGCAGCAGUGGGGAAUAUUGCACAAUGGGCGGAAGCCUGAUGCAGCAACGCCGCGUGAGGGAUGACGGCCUUCGGGUUGUAAACCUCUUUUAGCAGGGAAGAAGCGAGAGUGACGGUACCUGCAGAAAAAGCGCCGGCUAACUACGUGCCAGCAGCCGCGGUAAUACGUAGGGCGCAAGCGUUAUCCGGAAUUAUUGGGCGUAAAGAGCUCGUAGGCGGUUUGUCGCGUCUGCUGUGAAAUCCCGAGGCUCAACCUCGGGCCUGCAGUGGGUACGGGCUGACUAGAGUGCGGUAGGGGAGAUUGGAAUUCCUGGUGUAGCGGUGGAAUGCGCAGAUAUCAGGAGGAACACCGAUGGCGAAGGCAUAUCUCUGGGCCGUAACUGACGCUGAGGAGCUAAAGGGUGGGGAGCAAACAGGCUUAGAUACCCUGGUAUUCCACCCCGUAAACGUUGGGAACUAGUUGUGGGGACCAUUCCACGGUUUCCGUGACGCAGCUAACGCAUUAAGUUCCCCGCCUGGGGAGUACGGCCGCAAGGCUAAAACUCAAAGGAAUUGACGGGGACCCGCACAAGCGGCGGAGCAUGCGGAUUAAUUCGAUGCAACGCGAAGAACCUUAGCAAGGCUUGACAUACACCAGAACACCGUAGAAAUACGGGACUCUUUGGACACUGGUGAACAGGUGGUGCAUGGUUGUCGUCAGCUCGUGUCGUGAGAUGUUGGGUUAAGUCCCGCAACGAGCGCAACCCUCGUUCUAUGUUGCCAGCACGUAAUGGUGGGAACUCAUGGGAUACUGCCGGGGUCAACUCGGAGGAAGGUGGGGAUGACGUCAAAUCAUCAUGCCCCUUAUGUCUUGGGCUUCACGCAUGCUACAAUGGCCGGUACAAAGGGCUGCAAUACCGUGAGGUGGAGCGAAUCCCAAAAAGGCGGUCCCAGUUCGGAUUGAGGUCUGCAACUCGACCUCAUGAAGUCGGAGUCGCUAGUAAUCGCAGAUCAGCAACGCUGCGGUGAAUACGUUCCCGGGUCUUGUACACACCGCCCGUCAAGUCAUGAAAGUCGGUAACACCUGAAACACGGGUGGCCCAACCAAUGUGGAGGGAGCAAAACGAAGGUGGGAUCGCUAAUUUAAGGAAACAAAAAUA
RNAcentral lists this ribosomal RNA (1434 nucleotides) under Microbacterium proteolyticum. RNAcentral describes it as "bacterial SSU rRNA". It matches the Rfam family "Bacterial small subunit ribosomal RNA". The record is from RNAcentral. Lineage: Bacteria; Bacillati; Actinomycetota; Actinomycetes; Micrococcales; Microbacteriaceae.